AAGGUACUUAUUAUGGACACAUGAAUUGUUAGAUUUAAAACCAAAAAAUGAAAUGAUUAGGGAAUUUAGAUUCAGGAAAAAAAAACCUUUAAUAUAUAGGAAGAAGGUUAUUAUUUGAGAAUAUAUAGGUUACUAAGUACUAUAUGUUACUAUUUGAAAGAAGGUUACUAUUUGUAAUUUGGGACAAAUGAGUGCUAUUUGGGACAUAUGAGUACUAUUCAAAAUAUAGGUAUAGGUAGGAGGAAUGAUUGCAUGAUAAGAAUUUUGUGAAGGACAUGAUAGCAAGUUCCAAGAAUACAUGCAAUCAAUAUAGAAUUGAUAAAGAAGUCAUGCCAAUAGAAUUCAUAACAAUGAAAUCAUUGCAUCAUGUGAAUGACACAUAAACAUCUAACAUAUGAAAGCUGAGAAAGUAAAGGAACAAAAGACAACAUGUUGUCUACAAAUUUUAGGGAAUGAACAUAGUGAAAAAAAUUUAGUAUAAAUUGCUAAACAUAAAUUCAAAUUAAAAAAUGCUACAUAAAAAAAAUAGCUAAUUACUUAAAAGAAAAUGUAUAAUAUAAUUUAUUAAUCAUAAGUUACAAUGAUGGUAAAAUUAGUGUGUGAAUGUAGUUUUAGGAGGAGUUGGUUUACAUAGGGUUGAUGAAUUCAUCUAUGAAGACACUUAUUCAUUGACAUACAUGCAUGAUGCCACUUGUCUCUUCACUUCUUUACACAUGUCACAUGAAGCAAGAAAUAGAGAUAAUAGGUAUAAUCAUGAUAUGAUAGCUAGUAAUAGGGAUAAUCAUGAUAGAAAUAGCUAGUAAUAAAUAUAAUGAUGAUAGAGAAGCAAUGAUGGCAUCAUGUGAUCAUGAAAGGAAGGUUGCAUGUGAUGUUAGAAAGAUGUGGUAGAUUAGUCAUAAGUUAUUAAUUUAUUAAUGAUAAGUUACAAUGAUGGUAAAAUUAGUGUGUGGAUGUAGUUUUAGGAGGAGCUGGUUUACAUAGGGUUAAUGAAUUCAUCUAUGAAGACACUUAUUCAUUGGCAUACAUGCAUGAUGCC
RNAcentral lists this long non-coding RNA (1036 nucleotides) under Trifolium pratense (red clover). RNAcentral's name for it is "long non-coding RNA (TPRA_LNC007727)". The record is from RNAcentral. Lineage: Eukaryota; Viridiplantae; Streptophyta; Magnoliopsida; Fabales; Fabaceae.